AUGGCUUCUGUACAGGCGGCGAGGAGCGCCGAGAAGGAGAAGGCACACGCCGUGUGCCUGCCUGCGCCGGCGCAGGGGCACAUCAACCCAAUCCUGGACGUGGCCAAGCUGCUGCACGGCCGCGGCUUCCAUGUCACCUUCAUUAACACGGAGUACAACCACGCGCGCCUCCUCCGGUCACGGGGCGCGUCGGCGGUGGCUGGCGUCCCGGGCUUCCGGUUCGCCACCAUCCCGGACGGCCUGCCACCGUCGGAGGACAUGGACGUCACGCAGGACGGCGAUUCUGUGUGCAGAUCCAUCGAGGAGACUUGCCUGGGGCCCUUCCGGCGAGUUCUCGCCGAGCUCAACGAUCCGGCUAGUGGCGUCCCACCGGUGACCUGCAUCAUCUCCGACUCGGUCAUGAGUUUCUCCAUCGAAGCGGCCAGGGAGCUUGGCGUCCCCUACGUCCAUUUCUGGGAAGCCAGUGCCGCGAGCUACCUCGGCUUGCGCCACUACCGCCUCCUCGUCGACCGUGGUCUCGUCCCACCGCCAAAAGGUGCCUUGACGACUGAGUAUCUUGACACGCCGGUGGAAGAUGUGCCCGGGCUGAGAAAUAUGAGGUUCAGGGACUUCCCCACCUUGGUACGCGCCACAGAUCCGGAUGGCGACUUCAUGCUGCAGUUGGCCCUCAGGCAAAUGGAGCACGCAACCUGCGCAUCCGCCGUGAUCCUAAACAGUUUCGACGACCUCGAGGGCGAGGAGGCGGCGGCCAUGGAGGCCCUCGGCAUUGCCAAGGUCUACACGAUCGGCCCGCUCCCGCUGCUCCUGGCCUCUUCAGCCCCAUGUCUCAGCAGCGCCCUCAGCCUCAGCCUAUGGAUGGAAGACCACGGGUGCCUGCCUUGGCUCGACGCCAAGGAGCCGGGCUCUGUGGUGUACGUCAACUUCGGCAGCAUCACCGUCAUGACCAACGAGGAGUUUCUCGAGUUGGCGUGGGGGCUAGCCCACAGCCGCAGGCACUUCCUGUGGAUCAUCCGCCCCGAUCUCGUCAACGGCCAAACCCAAGCGGCGGCUCUGCUGCCCCCGGAGUUCUCCGCCACCACCGCCGACCGCGGCCUGGUGGCCUCCUGGUGCCCGCAGAAGGAGGUGCUGGCCCACCCGGCCGUGGGCGCCUUCAUCACGCACAGCGGCUGGAACUCCACAUUGGAGAGCAUCUGCGCCGGUGUGCCGGUCAUCAGCUGGCCCUCCUGUGGGGACCAGCAGACCAACUGUCGAUACCAGUGCAACGAGUGGGGCGUCGGCCUGGAGAUGGAGUGCCACGUCCGGCGAGACAGCGUCAGGGGCCUUGUCACGGAGCUCAUGGAGGGGGACAGGGGAAGGGAGAUGAGGAAGAAGGCACAGGAGUGGAAGGAGAAGGCAGCCAAGGCCACCACCAAGCACUCCGGCUCCUCUCACCGCAACUUCGACAACCUGCUUCGCGACGUGCUCCUGCCCCGGCCAUGA
This 1479-nucleotide ribosomal RNA is filed under the name Triticum aestivum (bread wheat). RNAcentral describes it as "partial small subunit ribosomal RNA". The record is from RNAcentral. Lineage: Eukaryota; Viridiplantae; Streptophyta; Magnoliopsida; Poales; Poaceae.